UACGUAGGUGGCAAGCGUUGUCCGGAUUUAUUGGGCGUAAAGGGCGCGCAGGCGGUUCGUUUAGUCUCGGGUGAAAUCUCCUGGCUCAACUGGGAGGGGUCUCGGGAUACUGGCGGACUUGAGGAGAGCAGAGGUGAGUGGAAUUCUGGGUGUAGUGGUGAAAUGCGUAGAUAUCCAGAGGAACACCAGUGGCGAAGGCGGCUCACUGGGCUCCACCUGACGCUGAGGCGCGAAAGCGUGGGGAGCGAACCGG
This 253-nucleotide ribosomal RNA is filed under the name uncultured bacterium. RNAcentral's name for it is "partial 16S ribosomal RNA". It matches the Rfam family "Bacterial small subunit ribosomal RNA", at positions 524 to 776 of the family's 1533-position model. The record is from RNAcentral.